RNAcentral lists this ribosomal RNA (501 nucleotides) under uncultured bacterium. RNAcentral's name for it is "partial 16S ribosomal RNA". It matches the Rfam family "Bacterial small subunit ribosomal RNA", at positions 30 to 523 of the family's 1533-position model. The record is from RNAcentral.
AUUGAACGCUGGCGGCAGGCUUAACACAUGCAAGUCGAGCGGGGGAAGGUAGCUUGCUACUGGACCUAGCGGCGGACGGGUGAGUAAUGCUUAGGAAUCUGCCUAUUAGUGGGGGACAACAUCUCGAAAGGGAUGCUAAUACCGCAUACGUCCUACGGGAGAAAGCAGGGGAUCUUCGGGCCUUGCGCUAAUAGGUGAGCCUAAGUCGGAUUAGCUAGUUUGUGGGGUAAAGGCCUACCAAGGCGACGAUCUGUAGCGGGUCUGAGAGGAUGAUCCGCCAAACUGGGACUGAGACACGGCCCAGACUCCUACGGGAGGCAGCAGUGGGGAAUAUUGGACAAUGGGGGGAACCCUGAUCCAGCCAUGCCGCGUGUGUGAAGAAGGCCUUAUGGUUGUAAAGCACUUUAAGCGAGGAGGAGGCUACUCUAGUUAAUACCUAGGGAUAGUGGACGUUACUCGCAGAAUAAGCACCGGCUAACUCUGUGCCAGCCGCCGCCGUAA